CAUACACACACACACACACACACACACAUAUACACACACAUACUCUUCAUAAGCUUAAGAGAAUUACACUCCCUUUGGCUCUUGUCACUAUUAUUAUUACUUUUAUGAUUAUGCAAUUUCUAGUCAUCUAUUAGGGUUUGCAGUUAAAAUACUGGUACUACUUUUACUGCUUACUGUAUUAGCACUCACAGAUGACAGUUUGACUGUCA
Molecule: non-coding RNA, 209 nt
Organism: Pelobates cultripes (western spadefoot toad)
Lineage: Eukaryota; Metazoa; Chordata; Amphibia; Anura; Pelobatidae
Source: the annotation of a GenBank genome assembly